CAUUACCACACCUAAAAAACUUUCCACGUGAACCGUUUCAACCCAAUAGUUGGGGGUCUUAUUUGGCGGCGGCUGCUGGCUUAAUUGUUGGCGGCUGCUGCUGAGUGAGCCCUAUCAAAAAAAAGGCGAACGUUUGGGCUUCGGCCUGAUUUAGUAGUCUUUUUUUCUUUUAAACCCAUUCCUUAAUACUGAAUAUACUGUGGGGACGAAAGUCUCUGCUUUUAACUAGAUAGCAACUUUCAGCAGUGGAUGUCUAGGCUCGCACAUCGAUGAAGAACGCUGCGAACUGCGAUACGUAAUGCGAAUUGCAGGAUUCAGUGAGUCAUCGAAAUUUUGAACGCAUAUUGCACUUCCGGGUUAGUCCUGGAAGUAUGCCUGUAUCAGUGUCCGUACAUUAAACUUGACUUUCUUCCUUCCGUGUAGUCGGUGGAGGAGAUGUCAGAUGUGAAGUGUCUUGCGAUUGGUCUUCGGACCGGCUGCGAGUCCUUUUAAAUGUACUAAACUGAACUUCUCUUUGCUCGAAAAGUGGUGGCGUUGCUGGUUGUGAAGGCUGCUAUUGUGGCAAAUUGGCGACUGGUUUGUCUGCUGCGGCGUUAAUGGAAGAGUGUUCGAUUCGUGGUAUGGUUGGCUUCGGCUGAACAAUGCACUUAUUGGACGUUUUUCCUGCUGUGGCGUGAUGGACUGGUGAACCAUAGCUCGGUGGCUUGGCUUUUGAAUUGGCUUUGCUGUUGCGAAGUAGGGUGGCAGCUUCGGUUGUCGAGGGUCGAUCCAUUUGGGAACUUAAUGUGUACUUCGGUAUGCAUCUCAAUUGGACCUGAUAUCAGGCAAGAUUACCCGCUGAACUUAAGCAUAUCAAU
This 857-nucleotide ribosomal RNA is filed under the name Phytophthora nicotianae (black shank of tobacco agent). RNAcentral's name for it is "eukaryotic LSU rRNA". The stretch from base 235 to 389 matches the Rfam family "5.8S ribosomal RNA". The record is from RNAcentral. Lineage: Eukaryota; Oomycota; Peronosporomycetes; Peronosporales; Peronosporaceae.